Non-coding RNA from Triticum urartu, 89 nucleotides. NCBI's taxonomy places the organism in Eukaryota, Viridiplantae, Streptophyta, Magnoliopsida, Poales, Poaceae. The record is from Rfam.
CUAACAGAAUAAUAAUGUUAGCAUGGUUUAAUCAGAGGUCAGCUGAGGACAUAUUACCUUGUUUCUCUACUUACAAACAAGGGAAGGUC